RNAcentral lists this ribosomal RNA (103 nucleotides) under Escherichia albertii. Lineage: Bacteria; Pseudomonadati; Pseudomonadota; Gammaproteobacteria; Enterobacterales; Enterobacteriaceae. The record is from RNAcentral.
GCGCGGUGGUCCCACCUGACCCCAUGCCGAACUCAGAAGUGAAACGCCGUAGCGCCGAUGGUAGUGUGGGGCUUCCCCAUGCGAGAGUAGGGAACUGCCAGGC